UGCUGUGAAGAGAACAACAGUCAGACUGAAUGUUGAACAUCAGCUGCUUUCUCCUGCUGGUUUAAACCUUGUUGGACAGAUGGAACAUUGGCUGUGGAUUAUUCUGGCUGCUCUUUUCUCUGAGUGUAAAGGAGACUCAGUGACGCAGACAGAAAGAGAAGUUGUUGCUGCUGCAGGAGAAACUCGGAUUCUGGGAUGUAAUUAUGAGAGCAUCUCUGUGACGCCUACAUUGUUCUGGUACAAGCUGGAGGAAAACAGUUUUCCACAGUACAUGCUGAAGCAACAAACAUCGACAACAUAUAAAGCUCCAGAGUUCAACAGCAGCAGAUUUGAUGCUGACCUCAAUAAAACCAAGAAAUCCUUCAACCUGACGAUCCAGGAUCUCCGUCCGUCAGACUCUGCUGUGUACUACUGCGCUCUGCAGCCCACAGUGACAGGAAACACCAGAACCCUGUGCAAAAACCUGCAGUACUCCACAGCGGCCACUAGAGGGCCUCGUACAUCAGGUUACAUUAAGAUGAGCUGCAGCUACUGGAGCCAAACUAACCUGAAGCAGCAGCAUCUCCACCUGGUUCAAACUGGCAGAAGUCAGUGAAAACCAAUGGAACCA
This is a non-coding RNA of Poecilia latipinna (sailfin molly), 610 nucleotides long. The record is from the annotation of a RefSeq genome assembly. NCBI's taxonomy places the organism in Eukaryota, Metazoa, Chordata, Actinopteri, Cyprinodontiformes, Poeciliidae.